Molecule: ribosomal RNA, 434 nt
Filed under: uncultured bacterium
Lineage: Bacteria
Description: partial 16S ribosomal RNA
Rfam family: Bacterial small subunit ribosomal RNA
Source: RNAcentral
AACGAACGCUGGCGGCAUGCCUAACACAUGCAAGUCGAACGAGACCUUCGGGUCUAGUGGCGCACGGGUGCGUAACGCGUGGGAACCUGCCCUUAGGUUCGGAAUAACUCCCCGAAAAGGGGUGCUAAUACCGGAUAAUGUCUUCGGACCAAAGAUUUAUCGCCUUUGGAUGGGCCCGCGUUGGAUUAGCUAGUUGGUAGGGUAAAAGCCUACCAAGGCGACGAUCCAUAGCUGGUCUGAGAGGAUGAUCAGCCACACUGGGACUGAGACACGGCCCAGACUCCUACGGGAGGCAGCAGUGGGGAAUAUUGGACAAUGGGCGAAAGCCUGAUCCAGCAAUGCCGCGUGAGUGAUGAAGGCCUUAGGGUUGUAAAGCUCUUUUACCCGGGAUGAUAAUGACAGUACCGGGAGAAUAAGCUCCGGCUAACUCCGUG